UUUCCAGCCAGGCUCCUGGCUGAAAUCCAGCUCUUAGCUGGAUUUAGCCAAAGCCUGGCUGGAAA
Non-coding RNA from Mesocricetus auratus (golden hamster), 65 nucleotides. NCBI's taxonomy places the organism in Eukaryota, Metazoa, Chordata, Mammalia, Rodentia, Cricetidae. The record is from Rfam.